This 1274-nucleotide long non-coding RNA is filed under the name Bos indicus x Bos taurus (hybrid cattle). RNAcentral describes it as "lncRNA (ENSBIXG00005001489.1)". The record is from RNAcentral. Lineage: Eukaryota; Metazoa; Chordata; Mammalia; Artiodactyla; Bovidae.
ACCGGAUCCAUAGAAAAUGCUUACCACAUGCUAAGUAUCAGCAUUACUAUCUUUUUAGGUCUUGCAUUUUAAAAAUGGCAAGCCUGUCCCCUUUGUGCUUGAUAAGAACCCCUGAUGCUCAUGUGUUUGAAUUCAUUCCUGGUCUCCUCUCUCUUCGCCCUGCCUCAGAUCUGACAGUGGAUGCUCCUUGUCCAGGACCAACCUUGUCUCUCUCUACACCUCUGAUAUGCCAGGAGACAAACUGCAUCAUCUGCCUCCAGCUCUUGGACUCCACGCUGGUCCUGGAAGGUAGGACAACAAAGUCACUGUUGGAACACAGGAAGCUGAGUGAGUCCAAAACCAGUUGUUUAUGUCCAUUGACUCUCAGAUUGACCAUGGAAGAAAUCGUGCUUACUAGAAAAUGGACCAUGGGCCUGGAGUUGGAAAACCAAACAAACAGCAGCAACAAAAAAGCUGUACCUUUUUUUUUUUUUUAGAUUCCACAAAUAAGUAACAUUAUAUAUUUGUCUUUCUCUGUCUGACUUACUUCACCCAGUAUGACAAUCUUGGUGCAUCCAUGGUGCUGCAAAAAGCAUUAUUUUAUUCUUUUUUAUGGCUGAGUAAUAUUCCAUUGUAUAUAUAUGUGCCACAUCUUCUUUAUCUAUUCCUCUGUGGAUGGACACUUAGGUUGCUUCCAUGUUCUAGCUAUUGUAGAUAGUCCUGCAAUGAACAUUGGGGUACAUGUAUCUUUUCCCAAUUAUGGUUUUCUCCAUGUAUAUGCCCAGGAGUGAGAUUGCUAGAGGAACCAAAUACAUGUGGUUUGUUUGUUUACCCUUUCUUGCUUCAAGCUGUUGUUUUGUUGCUGGAUAUACAGCCUGAUAAGAUCUUGGUAAAAAUCAGUUGGAUAUUAGAAAAUAUAACCAAGAACACAUCGCAUAUUCCAGUUGGAUGAAAAUUUAUACACAACCGGUGUCAGUUUCCUCUCCUAAAUCAGAAAUCGCUUCUGUCCAUUCAAUUCUUUCUCCCCUUGACAUCUGAGUUUCUACUCAGUCCCAGGCAUUAUGAUGGGCAAUGUGUCUAAAGAGCUAAACAACUGAGAACAAAAGAAGUUUAUCAUAUAGAUGCAGAAAGAGGCAGGUUAACAGGUAACCUGUAAAAUCUGGGGAGGUCAAGUUCAAGACACUGAAUUUAGGCUGGACCAUGAAGGUGAUCACAGACUUUCUCAAGUAGGGACAACUGAGAUGGAUCUUGACGGAUGUGUAGGAGUUUUCCCCUAUCCAGCGAAGGAGUUUUCC